CCUAGGGGCGGCAGCAGUGGGGAAUAUUGCACAAUGGGGGAAACCCUGAUGCAGCGACGCCGCGUGAGUGAAGAAGUAAUUCGUUAUGUAAAGCUCUAUCAGUAGGGAAGAAAAUGACGGUACCUGAGUAAGAAGCCCCGGCCAACUACGUGCCAGCAGCCGUGGUAAGACGGAGGGGGCAAGCGUUAUCCGGAUUUACUGGGUGUAAAGGGAGCGUAGACGGGAGUGCAAGUCUGGAGUGAAAGGCGGGGGCUCAACCUCCGGACUGCUCUGGAAACUGUAUGGCUGGAGUGCAGGAGAGGUAAGUGGAAUUCCUGGUGUAGCGGUGAAAUGCGUAGAUAUUAGGAAGAACACCGGUGGCGAAGGCAGCUUACUGGACUGUAACUGACGUUGAGGCUCGAAAGCGUGGGGAGCAAACAGGAUUAGAUACCCUUGUAGUC
Molecule: ribosomal RNA, 440 nt
Filed under: uncultured bacterium
Lineage: Bacteria
Description: partial 16S ribosomal RNA
Rfam family: Bacterial small subunit ribosomal RNA
Source: RNAcentral